UAAGUCUCAGUUCGGAUUGAAGGCUGAAAUUCGCCUUCAUGAAGCCGGAAUUGCUAGUAAUGGCAGGUCAGCAUACUGCCGUGAAUACGUUCCCGGGCCUUGUACACACCGCCCGUCACACCAUGAGAGUUGGGAAUACCCGAAGCCUGUGAGCUAACUUUUAGAGGCAGCAGUCGAAGGUAGAAUCAAUGAUUGGGGUGAAGUCGUAACAAGGUAGC
This 218-nucleotide ribosomal RNA is filed under the name uncultured bacterium. Its description in RNAcentral is "partial 16S ribosomal RNA". It matches the Rfam family "Bacterial small subunit ribosomal RNA", at positions 1282 to 1500 of the family's 1533-position model. The record is from RNAcentral.